RNAcentral lists this ribosomal RNA (289 nucleotides) under uncultured bacterium. RNAcentral's name for it is "partial 16S ribosomal RNA". The record is from RNAcentral.
CUACUGGGGUAUCUAAUCCCGUUCGCUCCCCACGCCUUCGCGCCUCAGCGUCAGGAACGGCCCAGCCGGCCGCCUUCGCCACGGGUGUUCCGCCCGAUCUCUACGCAUUUCACCACUACACCGGGCAUUCCACCGGCCCCUGCCGUCCUCAAGCGGCGCGGUCCCCGGCGACCCUCCCCGGUUGAGCCGGGGGCUUUCACGCCGGACCCACGCCGCCGCCUGCGCGCGCUUUACGCCCAGUAACUCCGGACAACGCUCGGACCCUACGUAUUACCGCGGCGGCUGGCAC